CAACUGUCAAAGAUGUCGUUCUAUACUCGCGGCUUGCAGGAUUUACCUCAUGUAAACAUCAAUGAUGUUCACCGCCUAAUUCAGGCAACCUCAAAGGCUUCAUUAAGAAAACGUGAAAAGGGGUUUAGGCUGUACAUAUCCAGCUAUAUCCAUGACUAGGGAGGUUGUUCUCAAAGACUGUAAACCUGUGGAGCUGUGGACCCAUCAAUGCUGGUGUGUGGCAGGGCUUGCACUAUGCAAUCAUAUUUCCGCAUUGCUUUACCAGACCUCACAUUACAGCCAGCAGGGAGCAACGGCUGUCCCCCCUACUCACAGCUGCACAGGAUCUGAGCAGCAGUGGCACAGACCCAGAACCCAGGUGAUGUUUCCAACACUACCAGAAUUAUCACAUUAUGUCAUUCGUUUCCAGGGCUUUAAGCGUGGUCCGACGAAUGAGAUGGUGGUGUUGUCAGCUAGGCCCAAAGAGAGAACAUUGGCCGAAGGGAUCAGCUGCAUAUGAAUUCUCUAGCAACAUCAGAGGCCAUGGCGCACCACAUUGAGAAAACAGCACACUGAAGGAAUGGCAUCUACUAAGAAAGCCGCUUGUGACUUCCUCUAGAUUCAGAGAGGUUUGCCAUGUGAGAGGACAGUCCUCAGCACAGAGCCUGGCACUGAGAAUUUUGCGGCCAGGCUAUCAGAGUGGAGAAAUGAAGAGGAGCCUCAGAUGGAGUCCAAAGCAGUAGAAGAAUACUGAUGUGUUAAGGAGGUAAAUCCCUACCCUUGUGGUUUUAUCAUCCAACCCGAUACACCUUGGCUUGGCUCAUCACCAGAUGGGUUGGUGUAUGACCCUAAAGCUUAACUUGUGUUUGGACUGCUGGAAGUGAAGUGCCCAAAUGUGAGAAGCUAUGUAGACUGUGCCUACCUUAGGGUCUCUGAUGGAGUGUUACAGCUCAAGCAGUCACACAAACUACUGGCAGGUACAGGGCCAACUACUCGUCACUGGUUUGAAGUGGUGCGAUUUUGUUGUCUUCGCUGAAGAGGGCAUCUUCAUUCAAAGAAUACCCAGAGAUGGGGGAGUCAUAAGAACAAUCAAACACAAAGUUGACUACUUGUACUUUUACUGUUAUCUACCAAUGCUUUUGGCUUGAAAAUGUCCGUUAUUAA
Eleginops maclovinus (Patagonian blennie) is the source of this 1143-nucleotide long non-coding RNA. RefSeq lists it as uncharacterized. The record is from RefSeq and is a predicted model, not a curated record. The transcript has 5 exons. NCBI's taxonomy places the organism in Eukaryota, Metazoa, Chordata, Actinopteri, Perciformes, Eleginopidae.